AUGAACGCUGGCGGCGUGCUUAACACAUGCAAGUCGAACGGAGAUAUCAAUGAAACCUAGUGAUUGAUAACUAGUGGCGGACGGGUGAGUAACGCGUGGGUAACCUGCCUUAUCCAGGGGGAUAACAGUGAGAAAUUACUGCUAAUACCGCAUAAGCGCACGGUAUCGCAUGAUACAGUGUGAAAAAGAUUUAUCGGGGAUAAGAUGGACCCGCGUCUGAUUAGCUGGUUGGUGAGGUAACGGCCCACCAAGGCGACGAUCAGUAGCCGGCCUGAGAGGGUGAACGGCCACAUUGGGACUGAGACACGGCCCAAACUCCUACGGGAGGCAGCAGUGGGGAAUAUUGCACAAUGGGGGAAACCCUGAUGCCAGCGACGCCGCGUGAGUGAAAAAGUAUUUCGGUAUGUAAAGCUCUAUCAGCAGGGAAGAAAAUGACGGUACCUGACUAAGAAGCCCCGGCUAACUACGUGCCAGCAGCCGC
Molecule: ribosomal RNA, 481 nt
Filed under: uncultured bacterium
Lineage: Bacteria
Description: bacterial SSU rRNA
Rfam family: Bacterial small subunit ribosomal RNA
Source: RNAcentral